CAGUCCCGCACUCUAUAUUUAACAGCUGCCGCAGAGCAGGAGGGGAGGCCGGGAGCAACGGAGGCUCCAGGCUUCCGUCUUUGGAGAGAAGGGCCUCACAGCCAGGCUGGCACCGGCCCUCGCUGGGUGACUGUCACCAUGCCUGCCUCCCAGAGCCGGGCCCGGGCCCGGGACCGCAACAACGUCCUCAACCGGGCCGAGUUCCUGUCCCUGAACCAGCCCCCGAAGGGGGCGCCGGAGCCCCGCAGCUCGGGCAGGAAGGCCUCGGGCCCCUCGGCACAGCCCUCGUGCCCUGGCGAUGGGGCCCGCGAGCGGCGCCAGUCUCAGCAGCUGCCCGAGGAGGACUGCAUGCAGCUGAACCCCUCCUUCAAGGGCAUCGCCUUCAACUCCCUGCUGGCCAUUGACAUCUGCAUGUCCAAGCGCCUGGGGGUGUGCGCCGGCCGGGCUGCGUCCUGGGCCAGCGCCCGCUCCAUGGUCAAGCUCAUUGGCAUCACAGGCCACGGCAUCCCCUGGAUCGGGGGUACCAUCCUCUGCCUGGUGAAAAGCAGCACGCUGGCCGGCCAGGAGGUGCUCAUGAACCUACUUCUGGCCCUGCUCCUGGACAUCAUGACGGUGGCUGGCGUGCAGAAGCUCAUCAAGCGACGCGGCCCGUUUGAGACGAGCCCCGGCCUCCUGGACUACCUCACCAUGGAUGUCUACGCCUUCCCCGCCGGCCACGCCAGCCGCGCGGCCAUGGUCUCCAAGUUCUUCCUCAGCCACCUGGUGCUGGCGGUGCCCCUGCGCGUCUUGCUGGUGCUCUGGGCCCUCUGCGUGGGCCUGUCUCGGGUCAUGAUCGGCCGCCACCACAUCACCGACGUCCUCUCCGGCUUCGUCAUCGGCUACUUCCAGUUCCGCCUGGUCGAGCUGGUCUGGAUGUCCUCCAACACCUGUCAGAUGCUCAUCUCCGCCUGAUCUUAGUUCCUUGACCAGGGAUCAAACCCACGCCCCCUGCAUUGGAAGCACGGAGUCUUAACCACUGGACCACCAGGGCACUCUGUAAGCCGCAGUUUCUUCGUCCAUACGAUGAGAAUCACGUCAGUCUCCUGAUCAGAGAGGCUGGGGACUGUUAACGGUGCGCGUCCACGUGAAGAGGCGGGCGUACACCUGCCGUAUAGUUAGUGCUGAAUCAACAUGUGUGCACGCCUGCGACCCACAGAGAGAGGUUUCCAGGGGUGCCUUCCGGGUACCAGCUCCAUACUUAGCCCUCUGCAAGCAUCCAGCUCACAGCCCUGAGAGGUUGUGUGGGCUUUGCUGCUUCUCAGCCCCAAAAGGUCCGAGAGGUGCCCUUUCUGAUUGACUCAAGUUCAUGGCCCCUGUGAUGCACUGGCAGGGCCGGCAAAGAGGAAGAAGACCCGCUCCCUUCCCUUUGAAGUUCAAAGUACACGACAGCCUGGUUUGGCGUCAAGGACCUAUCUAAGUCCUGUCCUGGGUCGUGCCCCCUCCAGCCUGGACAAGCCCCAACCUCCCUGAUCCUCACAGACAUCAUCUACAAACGGGAACACGAAGACUUGAGUGCCAUGCCCAGGAGCUGGACACUCAGAAGGUGGCAGUGGACAGGUGCCCGCACGCCAGCACUUAGGGGCUGUGUGAUUCACUCCAGCCAGAGGCCCUGAUGUGGGUGGAUUCAGAGAGCACGAGGCCCGGGUCUCUGGAGGUCCCUUUCCAAGGCUGGCCCAGUGGAACAUUUGCCAACAGCAGAGCCAGCGUGUCUUCUCGCUGCCUCCUAGCCCUGCCGCUCCCCAGGCUGAGCACCCUGUGUGCUUAAACAGUCAUCCGCUUGCCAAGGGUCCCCAGGGAAACCCUCCCGCCUCCCUCGCCCCCGCCUAGGGUACUUUCUAGGUCUCUUCUGUUCCCCACCCCGAUAAAACCCUUUCCAUCUCUGGAGCUGCCGAGGGCAGAAUCGGGCCAGUGAACACAGGCAGCCAGGGAACAGAGCUCGGGGCCGCAUGGCAGGUCCUGGUGACCCCACAGGGCAGGCAGUGAGUUCCCCUCUUUGGAGGUGUUUAUGCCGAGCAGUCGACCACGUGACCAGCGUGUCAGAGAGUUGAGCCCACUUCUGGAGAGCUGAACGAGCUGAACGAGCUGAACUCAGGGGCCUCUUCCAACCCAGAGUGUCCCUGUUUUCUUCAAAAUUAAUUUCUACUAACUUAUUUUUUUUUACCAAAGUAAUAAAAGAACGGAGUUCAAAAAGAAAAAUGUGGGGCUUCCCUGGUGGCACAGUGGUUAAGGAUCCGCCUGCCAACGCAGGGGACACGGGUUCGAGCCCUGGUCCAGGAAGAUCUCACAUGCCGCAGAACAACUGGGCCUGCGUGCCACAACUACUGAGCCUGUGUGCCACAACUACUGAGCCUGCAUGCCAUAACUACUGAAGCUCGCACGCCUAGAGCCCGUGCUCCUCAACAAGAGAAGCCACUGCAAUGAGAAGCCUGCGCACCGCAACAAAGAGUAGCCCCUGCUCGCCACAACUACAGAAAGGCCGUGCGCAGCAAAGAGGACCCAACGCAGCCAAAAAUAAAUAAAUAAAAAAUUUUUUUAAAAAAGAAAAAUGUGGCACCCCAAUGUUCACUGCAGCACUAUUUACAAUAGCCAAGACAUGGAAGCAACCUAAGGGUCCAUCGACAGAUGAAUGGGUAAAGAAGAUGUGGUACAUAUAUACACUGGAAUAUUACUCAGCCCCUAAAGAGAAUAAAAUAAUGCCAUUUGCAGCAACAUGGAUGGACCUGGAAAUUAUCACACUAAGUGAAGUAAGUCAGAAAAAGACCAAUAUUAUAUGAUAUCACUUAUAUGUGGAAUCUAAAAAAUAGUACAAAUGAACUUAUUUUCAAAACAGAAACAGACUCACAGACAUAGAAAAUAAACUUGUGGUUACCAAGGGGGAAGCUGGGGUGGGGAAGUAUAAAUUAGGAAUUUAGAAUCAGCAAAUACAAACUACUAUAUAUAAAAUAGGUAAAGAACAAGGAUUUACUGUAUCUCACAGGGA
This is an RNA transcript of Lagenorhynchus albirostris (white-beaked dolphin), 3019 nucleotides long. It is a transcript of the gene named phospholipid phosphatase 7 (inactive), with no coding region annotated. The record is from RefSeq and is a predicted model, not a curated record. Lineage: Eukaryota; Metazoa; Chordata; Mammalia; Artiodactyla; Delphinidae. The transcript is spliced from 4 exons.